Molecule: long non-coding RNA, 5200 nt
Filed under: Sus scrofa (pig)
Lineage: Eukaryota; Metazoa; Chordata; Mammalia; Artiodactyla; Suidae
Description: lncRNA (ENSSSCG00035040299.1)
Source: RNAcentral
UUUUUCUUUUUUUUUUUCUUUUUUUUGCUUUUUAGGACCACACCUGCAGCAUAUGGAGGUUCCCAGGCUAGGGGCUGAAUCGGAGUGUAGCUGCUGGCCUGUGCCACAGCCACAGUAAUGCAAGAUCCAAGCCGCGUCUGUGACCUACACCACAGCUCACAGCAAUGCCGGAUCCUUAACUUACUGAGCAAGGCCAGGGAUUGAACUUGAGUCCUCAUGGAUGCUAGUCAGGUUCGUUUCUGCUGAGCCAUGAUGGGAACCCCAUCAUGUUUAAUCUUGAUUGCACUGGUGAAAUGAUAAUAGUUUGAAUAUACUAGAUAAAUAACAUUAUCAAAAUUAAUUUUAUCCAUUUAAAACAUUUUUUUAAAAUGUGGCUUCUAGAAAAUUUCAAGUACAGAGCAGCUUGUAUUAGAUUUUUAUUGGACAACACUGGUCUAAAAUAUCCCAAGUCCCGGGCAGAGGAAAAGAGAGAGAUGACGAUGCUUUUGUGGGCUCUUAAAGCUUUUCCCUGGAAGGGACACUUGUGACUGGUGCGUAUGUCCUUGCCCAAAGGAAACUGCACUGGUACUUUCGAGUUUAGUAGAGUGGGGAACUGCAGGCCUGCCAGGGCCCCAAACGGCGAGAGCAAGAAGCAGGAUGUUAGAAAACAGCUUUCCCAUGGGCUACACUGGAGAAUAUCUUGCAAGGGGUUAAAAUAAUGUGUUAGCUCUACGUGAGCUGAGACAGAAACAGCCUAAGACUUAUUAUUGGGUGAAAAAGCAGCUUGUUUAACAAUAUGCAGUGUAUCAUACUAUUUAUACCCACCCCACACCUACACUAAAACGGCACCUGUUAUGACGGCAUAUGCUAUCCAGGUGAUGACCUAGAAAAAUGUCUGAAGGAUGUAAACCAAUGGUCACUUCUUUGUAUGCAGGGGUGGCUGUACCCCUAAUGUGUGAAUAUGAAGCCGCAGGAGCAUCCUCCUCUUUGGGUCGGAUGUCUCUCUGUUUCUCCAGAUCAGCUCUCCACCCUUGACCCCCGUGCCUCACGCAGUGGGGUGCUGACCAUGCCACGCUCACUGGUUUCUGGGGCCUCUUGCAGGCAGGGAGAAGCUGGAGCGCAAGGCAUUUACUCCCUUAUCCUGAUGUCCUAUCACCCCUCUUUCUUCUGAAGGGGUCUUCCCUGACAUAGCCCUCCAGCUCUCUAGAGGGUUCUCCACGCCCCCCUUUUCGGGUGGGGUGGUGACGGCUUCAUGGGACUCCGGGUGGGCACUACACCUUCUAUGGAAUUUCCGUCCACCCUGCUCACUCCCUUAUUAACAGUAACUUUACUAAAUUCUCUCCAAGGUUCUCAACAGAAGUAUAUCCCUUGUUUUCUGCUGGGGCUGUGAGUAAUACAACAUGUUACUUCUAAAAAUAAGUAAAAAUCCCAGCAGAAGAAAAAAGAAAAAAAAAAAAAAAACAAACCACCUCGACAGAAUUAUGAUUAAAAAUGUCAAAACUGUUCGCCUCACUUUCUUUGGCAGAAGAACUAUUUGUGAAUUAUUUUCUGUGCCAUCGCACUUCUCUGUAGUGACUUUUUCUAUAAUAGAUACUACUUGUAUCAUUCAUUUAAAAAGAGUCUAAAAUGAACAAAACCAGGAAAGAGAAAAGGUUACGCUGCAAUCGAAUUUGUUCAGAAACUGCUGACCUUUGUUUUAUGAGACUGUGACUAGCAGGGAGUAGGUCCUUUCUAAUCUGGCAGAGAACACGCUGCCUCCUUAGUAACAUCCAGAAGAAAAGCCACAGCCAGAACUUACCGAAUGCUCGUGAUAGGCUAAGCACUGUCUCGUAUGCUGUGUGUGACUUUCUUGUCAUCCUCUGCUGACAGCUCCUGUCCGCUUCUCAUGGAAGGAGGCCCAGCGGCUUUCUGAUGCAUGAGGUGACUCUCACCCACACACACACCACCUGCCAUGGAGCAUCCCCAGGCUAGAGAGCCCCUUGCAAAGUCCACUUCCCAUGGCCACAGCAGUCCAGCAUGUGGCCAGCUGUACUGAGACACACUGACAAGUCCCCUCACUGAGGACAGGGCACCACUGGUAGGUUAACCGAGAUCCAGAACCACAAGGUCCCCUUUAUUGGCCUAUGGGGGGGUCCGGGCCCUCACCAAUCUCUGGCAAUAUUUGUUUAAUGUCUUCACUGAUUUAUGCCACUGAACACCACACUGCAAACCUUUCCUAGAUCCUCCAGGCUCUUCUAAGAGCAGCAAAGGGAAGAGGUGGGGGCGAGUCUGGAAGAGGAAUUACUUCCUUCUUUCCUUCAGUGUGCGUGUAUUCCUGAGUCAUAGGAUCAGCAGUACACUGGGCCAACAGAGGCAACAGAAAAGACCAGCCCACCAAGACGGGCUAAGUACAGAACGGAUUAAUCUCUCCCCAAGGAAGUCUUCCCUUGGGGCAGUGGCUGUCAACCAGGAGUUCAUGGCAAUGCCUGUCUUAGGGCAAAGGACUGAGACUGGUGUUCAGUCUGGUCAGAGCUCUAGGCGGAUGUGAAUGAAGGGCAGUGGCCCCAGACGGCCUAGCCUCACAUAUGCACCUGCUUCUCAGGGAUGGAGAAGGUACAGCUUGGGACUGGACCAUAUGGGAAAAGCCAGUCUUCCUCCUAAGCUCAAAAGAAAUCCCACGUCUUGCGCACCAUCAUUCGUAGAGCGUUCGCGUCAGUGGAAGAUCUGAUUGGCCCAGAGAGCGCAGGGAUUUGCUUAGAGCUUUCCUGUUUUCUCAACCGUGACUGUUUCCAAACCAAACUCAGUCUGCAGGCGCUGGAGACCUUGCAAUCUCAUCAAAGCUCAUCUUCAAAUGACAGCUACUAGUCCAUCAAAUCAGGGUCAGCUUGGCCUAAGGGAGCUCCCCGAGGAGCCUGCUGGGAUGGUUCCAUCCGAGACUUGAGUUCAAGUCCAGGCUUUUCCAAAAGGGAGCUGACAGGAAAGCACGUAAGCUCUCCUCCUCUGUGUAAGAGACGUAAUAACUCCUAUACUGGUGGUCGGAAAGUAUACAGAGUAGUUAGUACCUUGACAGGUGGGAAGGUAUUAUUAUUGUUAGUGAGAAUUGGUAUCAGUAGUUAAUCAGCCACAUCAUGUCACCAAAGAAUGAUUUCUCCAUGUGUAUGUCGCAGGGUUGUCACCUCUGUUUUUUAAGUUCUUGUGACAGUGCUUGGUUUCUCAGGAUAUUUGCUUUUUUAAUUUAAAUAACAUUAUUUUUACUGUGGUAAAUAUAUAUAACAAAACUUAGCAGUUUAAGCCAUUUUUUGUUUUGUUUUUUUUUUUAGGGCCAUACUCACGGCAUAUGGAAGUUCCCAGCCUGGGUCAAAUUGGAGCUGUAGCUACCAGCCUACACCACAGCCACAGCAAUGCCAGAUCUGAGCCAUGUCUGUGACCUACACCAGAGCUCAUGGCAACACCGGAUCCUUAACCCACUGANUGAGGUCAGGGAUUGAACCCACAACCUCAUGGUUCUUAGCCAGAGCAACACAGGAUCAGAGCUGCUUCUGAGACCUAUACCACAGCUCAUGGCAACACUGGAUAUUAACCCACUGAGGGAGGCCAGGGAUCAAACCUGCAUCCUCAUGGAUACUAGUAGCGUUUGUUACUGCUGAGCCACAAUGGGAACUCCUAAAUCACUUUUAAGGAGAGCAACUGGAGUUCCCACUGUGGCACAGUGGGUUAAGGAUCUGGCAUUGCUGCAGCUGUGGUGUAGUUUGCAGCUCUGGCGUAGGUUGAAACUGCGGCUUGGAUUAGAUCCCUGGCUGGGGACAUUAUCUACUUCCAGAAGUUAUUUAUUUAUUUGCUUUUUAGGGCCACACCCAUGGCAUAUGGGGGUUCCCAGGCUAGGGGUCGAAAUGGAGCAUUGCUGCUGGCCUCUGCCACAGCCACAGCAACGCAAGAUGCGAGCCUUGUCUGCGACCUACACCACAGCUCACGGCAACGAUGCACCUUUAACCCACCGAGCGAGGCCAGGGAUCAAACCUGCAUCCUCAUGGAUUCAUUAACUGCUGAGCCAUGGCAGGAACUCCCCUAUUUCCAGAACUUCUUAAUCAUCCCAAACGGAAGCUCUGCAACUAUUCAAGAAUAACACCUCAUGCUCCCCUCCUUCCCACCUCCCAGUAAUCUCCAGUGUACCUUCUUUCUCUAUGUACGUCACUCUCGUAGGUACCUCAUUUAAGUGGAAUCAUAAACAUCCAGCCUUUCGUGUCUGCUUCAUUGUGUUUAGCGCGGUGUUUUCAAGGUUCAUGCAAGUUGCAGCAUCCCAGGAUUUUUUUUUAAGUCAGUCCAAUGUAACUGAAUUUUAGCACCUUCCUUGUACCAAACGUUAAGUGCAAAGUAGUGAACCUCCUUGGCCCUGCCUCAUGGAGCUUCUUCUGCCUUGACACGGCCUCACCCUUUCAGUCCAUCAUUGCAGAGGGGGAGAUGCAGGACUCCAGCCCUGAGUUCCGACUCAAAUCCAGAUCUCUUCCAUUCUACCAUCAUGCUAAGUGCUAAGCAUGUUACAUAUUUUCUACAUAUUCUCUUUUCAUUAGUUUGGGCAUCAGAGUUAGACAAAAAUGGAUAUGGUUUGAAUUUUUAGCUUUGUCAUUUACCAACUCAUCUUCAAACAAUGCAUGAAACAGUGCAGUGAUAAAACAGCACAGUGGCUGGCACAUAGUAAACACUCAUAAAUAAUAGCUUCCUUUUUUUUUUUUUUUUUUUUUUUUUUGCUUUUUAGGACUGAACCUGUGGCCUACGACGUUCCUAGGCUAGGGGGUCAAAUUGAAGCUGCAGCUGUUGGCCUACACCACAGCCACAGCACUAUCAGAUCUGAGCCAUGUCUGCGACCUAUGCCACAGCUCACAACAACAUUGGAUCCUUAACCCACUGAGAGGGGGCAGGGAUUGAACCCGAAUCCUCAUCCCAGUGAGCCACAGCGGGAACUGAAGUCAUUUUUAAUUCAUUCAUCAAAUUCCUAUCUUCUAGGAGCAGGGACCAUGCUUGUCUUGUUACCAUGACAGCCCCUCCAUGGUAGCAGAGUGCCUGUCAGUCAGUGAUUACUGAAUGAGCACGUAGCUGAGACCCCAGGAAUGUUUCUCCAGGGUCUGAGCUCUCCCCCUGCUGACUGCUCACUGUCUCUCCAGGGCCUCCAGCCCCCUCAUGGGGAGACAAACAGGCCAGCAAACACUGGCCAGAGAAAGUGAUGCAAGCUACUCUCUUCUGACCC